ACUCAAAGGAAUAGACGGGGGCCCGCACAAGCGGUGGAACAUGUGGUUUAAUUCGAAGCUACGCGAAAAACCUCACCAGGGCUUGACAUACAGGAAGUAGUGAAGUGAAAGCGGAACGACCCGUUAAGUCGGGAGCCUGAACAGGUGCUGCAUGGCUGUCGUCAGCUCGUGUCGUGAGAUGUUGGGUUAAGUCCCGCAACGAGCGCAACCAUUAUCCUUUGUUGCCACUCCAGUCGAGCUUGCUCGAUUGGAAGCACUCUAAGGAGACUGCCCGGGAUAACCGGGAGGAAGGUGGAGAUGACGUCAAGUCAGUACGGCCUUUAUGCCCUGGGCGACACACGUGUUACAAUGGGUGGGACAAAGGGUUGCCAACCCGCGAGGGGGAGCUAAUCUCAAAAACCCAUCCUCAGUUCAGAUCGGAGUCUGCAAUUCGACUCCGUGAAGCCGGAAUCGCUAGUAAUGGGAGAUCAGCACGCUCCCGUGAAUACGUUCCCGGGCCUUGCACACACCGCCCGU
Molecule: ribosomal RNA, 516 nt
Filed under: uncultured bacterium
Lineage: Bacteria
Description: partial 16S ribosomal RNA
Rfam family: Bacterial small subunit ribosomal RNA
Source: RNAcentral